This 516-nucleotide ribosomal RNA is filed under the name Aurelia marginalis. RNAcentral's name for it is "partial large subunit ribosomal RNA". It matches the Rfam family "Bacterial large subunit ribosomal RNA", at positions 1909 to 2558 of the family's 2925-position model. Lineage: Eukaryota; Metazoa; Cnidaria; Scyphozoa; Semaeostomeae; Ulmaridae. The record is from RNAcentral.
CUCUAUAAAGACAGCUAAAUGGCCGCGGUAACUCUGACCGUGAUAAAGUAGCAUAAUCACUCGUCACUUAAUUGGUGACUGGAAUGAAUGGCUAAACGAACCCCCCUCUGUCUCCAAGAAAAUUCCGGCGAACUUGAAAUGACAGUGAAGAUGCUGUCAAGCAACUGUAAGACGAAAAGACCCUAUCGAGCUUUACUGGAAGCUUGCAGAUUUAAAAGGACGUUAACCUGCACGUCUUCAAAAACUGCAAGCCCGACAGUUUGGUUGGGGCGACCACCCCUAAGAAAGUAUCAGGGGAACUCUAAAGGUAAUUACUAAAUGGAAAAUGCCUUACUGAAAACAAACAAGUCAACCAGUUACUAUAGGUAGGACAUAAUGACCCGUUACAUCAAUCACGAAAUGUAACGACCACGAAAAAAGUUACCGUAGGGAUAACAGGGUAAUAUUUUCGGAGAGUUCAUAUCGAUGAAAAUGUUUGCCACCUCGAUGUUGAAUUGUGAUAUCCUAGGGGUGCAG